AAUUUUGUGUGUAAUUGUUCAUAAUUAUUAUUUGUUUGAACUUGUCAGGUUUUGGUGUUAAAGUUCUUCUGGUCUCUCAAAAUGCGUUACAACAGCUGGAGAGAAAAACAUACCAAGUUCAAAUAUGACAAGAACAGCAAAGACAGUAAAGGAGAACAAGCAGUUUAACUCAAAAUGUGAAUUAAGGGCCAUGCUGGGCAUGGCAGUCAUUUUGUAAAGUCCACAGCUAGCCAAGCUCCCUGGAAGAAAUCAAACCAACACAGCUUUUCUCCACCUUCAAAUAACAACAAAUAAAACCAGAAGGAAUAUCUCUGAAAUGGGAUGUCUCAAUAAACUGUCUAAAAGAAAGUAGUAGAGGUAUUUCUUCUAACUUAAAGUUACUGAAACCACUUCCCCUCACUGUGUACGAGGUGAGUGGGGUGUAACUGAUCUAUGAACUCUUGAGGAGUGCUAGCCCUCACUCGAUGGUCAACACAGCUUCUGCAGGAGCUGAAGCAAAGAUGGGCCAGCAGACAUCUCCCUGCAUUAUGGUGAUGGAUUCAAUGCCUGUGAUGCUCAGAGGAGAUCGCCAUGAAGGGGAGCAGACGCCCCUGAUUUGUGUCUGCAGGCAGUGAAUGCUAAGAUGCAGGUGGAUCAACAAACCCUCUGUCCCAGGCAGCAAUGGAGAAUGGCAUUUGUGAUUCAUAAUCAUGGGCAUUAAGAGCUCAGAUGCAGAUGCCAUUUGGUUGCAAAAGUUGGAGCUGGAUGUUGAUGACCACACACCUCUAGUUACCACGGAGCUAUCACCUGCUGAGGGGUCCUUCAGACAGCCUCAAUCUGGGUUGGGUGGCAACAUGCCUACCACACCUGGUCGUCAUAACACAGUCUUCAUAAAAACCCAGACUCCAGGCCUGCUAGGGCAGAAGGUGCCUUGAGAACAUGAGUUUCUCUUCUCCAUUCACUGGCCAUUGAAUUUCUUGCCUGCUCUCAAAAAUAAACAAAAGCAAUAACAACAACAACAACAGCAAAAGAACUUCAAUGGAGGGCUCUACUCUUCUUUUUGCAGUUGGAAAAAAAGCACGUGGAAGAAAAUUUAUAUGAUACAGAGUGUGUGGGAUGGUAGUGGCAGAAAGCGUAGUAUUUUAGGAAAGAUGAGAAUGGUCUAGUGCUGUUCAUCAUUGUUCUAUCAAAUCAAAUUUACCUGUCCACCUUCCCCUUUCUUCCUCAAACAAAAAGGAUCUCUAUUUAAACGGAGCAUAGUACAUUUAGAAAGAAAACUCUCUGGCUUUUGUUGAUUGUGCUAUGGAAUGGAAUGAAGUUCAAAAGAAAAAAAAAUAGUCACAGUAAUGUCUGCUGCAUCUGAGGCCACAAGGACACUCAGUGUAACCAUGUCAUAAAUCAUCAAAGACAAAUGCUCAGGAGGAUCUGUUUCUCUGGGACAGCUCGCCUCAUUUAAUAUGUCUUCUACUGCCAUGAUAGCAACUCUUUCGUUGUUCCUCUCUUCCUUUGCUCAAUGGUAAUUGUCCUUCUGCCCAGACCAUUCAUCUCUCACAGAGUUGUCUCCCGAUGAGGAGAUAUGUACAACCAGCUCUGAGUUAUGCAUUCUUAGUCUGGAAACCCCUAUGUUUUGGUUCAGUACUGUUCAAAGUUAAACUGAAGAGAAACCAAAAGCACAUAAGAAAAAAAAAAUGGCUGCUGGAAAAGUUGGUUGGAUAAAAUAAUGAAUGUUGAUGAAAACACCUCUUUUGCUGUACUCCAUUAAUAAAAAA
RNAcentral lists this long non-coding RNA (1748 nucleotides) under Ictidomys tridecemlineatus (thirteen-lined ground squirrel). Its description in RNAcentral is "lncRNA (ENSSTOG00000033531.1)". Lineage: Eukaryota; Metazoa; Chordata; Mammalia; Rodentia; Sciuridae. The record is from RNAcentral.